Taeniopygia guttata (zebra finch) is the source of this 6430-nucleotide long non-coding RNA. NCBI's taxonomy places the organism in Eukaryota, Metazoa, Chordata, Aves, Passeriformes, Estrildidae. The record is from Ensembl.
AGGAAGACUUAAAAGUACUUUAGACCAAUCAAUGCAUGUUUUGGAACAGCAGGCUUAUACUUACCAUAGUGGAGCUAGGUUAAUUUUUACCUGUGUCUUUUUCUGUCACUUGAAUAUGUAACAACCAAGCACCUAGUGCAUGUGGUGUAAAGGAACAACCAUUUUUGUUACAACAUGGCCCUUUGCUUAAAUGGCUGGGCCAAUGCCACAGACCUCACUCAAGCCUGUCACAUAGAAAAGAGGGAAGUUUGAAGAGCCCCUGGUGGCUGGGCCAAACAUUGAGCACAGCACAAUCACUUAGAUGGGUUUUUUAAAACAAGUUUUCUAUAUUUCCAUCAGUUUUCUUAUUUCUGUAACAAGACAAUAUUGAGGUAUCUCUUCAGUCAUUUGAGUUACUGAGAAUAUAAUGUCUUUUUCUUUUCAAACAAUGUCUGGUCAUUAAUUCUCAAAAUAAAAAAGUUUUUUUUGUCUUUAACUGCAGUUAAUUUCAACUUGUUGCUGCGUUCAGUCUUAUGUAUUUAUAUUGUAUUCUGCGUAACACUUUUCAAUCAUGUUGUGUCUCACUGUCCCCAAACUUAGCUCUUUAAUAUUUUAUAGUCAUUAAUCUUCUAUCUUUUUUUUUUUUUUUUUAGUUUCUAGAUAUUUUCGGUGACUAAAACUAAAUGCCAGUCAAUUUUUAUAUGCCUGAAGUGUUGGUUUGUAUUUUCUAUGUGCAGUUUUAUGAAAUCACAUGGGUGUGUUUGAUCUGCCUUUACAUCCUAGUGGACUAUUGAAGUCCAGAUUAAGACCAAAUGGGACCUGGUUCCAUGCUCUAGAUCCACAGACAAUUCCCAUUCAAGACAAUGAUGUUGUUCUGGCAAGACUGAGGUCUGUCAUGUUCCUUCUGUGUGCUUUUUCUCCCAGGUGACCCUUAGGCUUUGGAAAAGCCCCUUAGACCUGUGCUACUUGAUGGAAAGGGAGGAGUCCAGCCAUACAGAACCUAUUGCAGGAACUGAGAUAAAUAUCAUGCAAACCUAAUUCUGGCCUAUUAAAAUCACUAGAAAUUUAAAAUUAGUAAAGUCAAGGCCUCAAUUCUUGCAAAAAUGAAUUUCCCCUGAAACCAAUGUGAGUCUGGUGGAAGAAGGGAUUGAUUGAAAUCUAAAUGAGAAGAAUGAUAGUCUCUGCCUCUUGAAGAAAAUCAACAGAAGCUUUAACUAUAUGAAUCAGAUUAAAGACCAGGCCCUUAUUUGCUGCUGUAUUUUAAAUGUUUUCAGAGAAGCACAUUUAUUUUGAAAGAAACGCAAUUCACUUUGUUAACAGAUGCUUUAUUUUUUUUAAAUACUGGAAGCAAAAUUAUUAAGCUUUAGAAAUGCUUUUGGUAUAAUUUUGGUAUCUACUUUUGACUAUGUUGAAAACUAUUUCCAGAAGCAUAGAUUUAGACGUGGUUUUUCCAGUCUUGACUGCAUAUAAAGGAUCCACCUCUGAAUAUCUAACUUGUAUAAUUUCUGAUUAAAACAUCUCCUUGAGCAGUUGCAGGACUGGAUCUAGCUUUCUGUCCAGUACAGCAGGUGUAAGAAGUGCAGGCUGGGAUCACGUCAUUCAUCAUGGGUUGAUAUGCAGCAAAUUAUGCAAAAUUACACAAGUAUAUUUUUUUAUUUUCUAAAACUUAGAAGCCAUUUUGGACUUAUUACCCAUUCACUACAGUAAGAGGAGAAUGUGUCUGAGUUCUGGGGUCAGUCUCUAAUGCCAGACGUGCAACUUAAGGAGUCUUAGGAAGAAGUGACUCUUUUGUGCACCUGAAAGGGGUCUGACUCCUCGCAUCACUGGAAAAUGAAGAAUGUUCAGGAAGACAGCUUUGCAAUUGAUCUAUUUUUUAUAUUUUUUACUAACUGCAGAAUCAUGAAUCAAAGUUUUAAUUCCUUUUCAAUGAUGAAACCAAAUGCACAUAUUUUAAAAAUGUUCACAGAGUAAUUAGAAGAGUUUUUGAGUAAUAGUCACAUUAAUCCAAAUCUGGGUGGGGAGUAGGGGGUAGGGGGGAAUAAUAUCUUGCACAAACUGCAAAGGAAGUUCCUAUAGGAAAGCUGUUUACAGGGGAAGUAUGUAAUGUAAAGAAUGUAACAAGGUGUAGGAAGUUUUUGCACUACCGAAUUUAUAUAAAAUACACUUUUUUAAAUGAAAACACAAAAGGCCUUUUAAUGCUACAUUGUAUAGACUAUAGAAACCUCUGUGCUAUUGCAGCAAUUUAAUGCACUGUGUCCUCACUUUACAAUUGGUCUCAAAAUUCAAACAUUAGUGAUGUUAGAGAGGUGAUAUCUGAUCUAACACUAGAGCAAUGGACAUGAAGAGCCUUUUAGCACACUAUUAUGUAACUCAAAAUGUGUACAGACAGUUUUUGCCUACAGCAUUUAUACAUCUAAAUGACAAUUGGCUUAAUGAGUCAUUUCAUAACAGGUAAUACCGGUCAAUGUAUUUGUAUUCCUUGAAAAACAAUGAGUUAUUUUAAAAGCACACCUCUUCCCUUCCAUGUUGACUGAGCUUCUGUUUCUUUCAAGGUUUACGUUCAAGUUAUUUAAUUAAUUGCUUCAACCUCAUCUCUAAACCACAGUCCAAUAAAAAAGACAGUUGUCUUCUUGAAGCUCUAUUGCACAUAGUCAAACUGGUAGAAAUGUCCAGGGUUUUACUGAUUGGCUUUUUGAUUUGAAUAAUGUUUUAAUCACUUGGAUAGCAAAUAUAUAUUUUGAUCAUAAAAACAUAUAUUAGAAGCAAAAUAAUGCAGUACGCCUUUUUUUUUUUCUAAGUAGCCAGCUGAGAUCAAGCAAGAAAUUCAAAAACAACAAAGGGGGAAACAAGGCAGAAAACUGUAAGUAAACAAGGCAUGUUUUAGUGUACUAUAUUAAAAGAGACAUAAUAAAACAUAUGUAAAAGAAUCCUUGUUCACACUAAAUAAGGUAAAAAAGCCAGUAGCAAAAGAUUUAAUUCCGCUCUUCCAUUGUAAUUUUUAACAUAGAACUAACAGGUUCACUGAUGCUAUUACCCACUCACCUGCCAAAAGAAUAUCUGAUCCGUAAUCAUUUUUCAGAAGACUUUCCUGAAAAAUAAGAUAUUAUGUGUUGGGAUUUUUAUUGAUCUUUGGAUCUCUUCCCAUUUCCCUCCCAAUAUCAAUCUUCUCUUCUUCUUGGGAGUGGUCAGAAGACAACCCACCCAACAAGAUGAUAGGAGUGUCUUAAUUGUCAGGAAAGUGUUUUGGUAGUGUGGUGAAAAUGGCCAGAUGCUGCAUUUGAACCAAGGAACAAGAACUGAGUGUCACUUCUCCCCGUUUUCUAGUUGUAAAGUGCUCUGAAUUCUCCAGUGUCCCCAAAGCAUACCCAUUCUUCAUGGAAAAGCUUUCGGUGCUCUUGCAAGAACUUUUUUAAAAGCAGUUGACUGGUAAAUGCUGUUAAGAGAGCUAUCGAUCUAAGUUUGAAUAUUUGUCUUUUGUCCAACCUGGUUUUAUUAGUGGUGCUCAGCUUUAACUCCAGCUGAAAUGCUUUCUGAAACAGAUCAGGUGUUCGGGAGUCAAACCUUUUGCAGGUCCUUUGUCAGUUUCCUUAACAAAGCAAGGUUAGGUAAAUGGUAGGCAAAAAUGAAAGAAAAAAUUUUGUUUGCAUUGUGUGAUGGUUUCUUGUUCAGUGAUCAUACACCAUGGGACAUCUGCAAGUGGGGUACAUGUAUUUGUAUUUAUUUUGUUCCAGGUUUAAACAGUUUUUCUUUUAAAUGCUGACUUACGAUAUUUAGGAAGUAUUACCCCUUAGUAAAAUGGAAAUUUCUUCCAAAACAACAGUGAUACUUUCUAAUUCUAUAAUAUUAUUGUUGAUAUUUAGGGUUUUAUGACACCUAACGCAGAUUCUGAUGAAUACCACUGUGGAACAAGGAAGUAGCACACAAAUAUUACUACUCUUUUUACUCAAAAGUAAUUAAAAAAUAUGGUAUUAGCUAAUGUUUAAUCAAAAAAUAAUUAUACCUAUGAACUAAAGAGAAUGGCGACCUGUCGUUACCUCAGACAUUGACUGUAGUCCUGUGAUUAACAUAAACCAUGAAUCUAAUAGCAGUCUGUAUAAUUCAUUUUAUUAGGGUAAUUUUUUAACUCAAAUAACUAUUUAAAUACAUAUUUAGCAUCAGCAGGAACAAUGUACACUUCUAAAUCUGGAAGUCUAUGGAUACGUUUACACUGGCAUCUUAGAGAAAACCAGGAGCAAUCUCUUGACAUCUCAGCUACCCCCACUUCUCAUGCUUUGGUUCAAUAACCGAACAAUCCUGCACUGUAGGGAGAGCAUCCUUCCCAACACUGCACCAUGCAAAUUGGACUACUUUUAGGUGAAGUUGAACCAGAAAUCUUCUUCCAUGAUGGCACCAGCUAUGCUGCAGGCAGGACAAAGCAUUCAGGCCCUGAUACCAGAUGACAGCAAGUCCAAAAAUUGUACCCCAAUAAUGUAUACUGUCAGUACAAACGGUUGCCUUCAACAAAUCUCCUGGUAUUGUACAACUUGCUAAUGUAGACGUAGAUGGCUACUGUCUUCUAGAGCCCAUGUAGCUCUUGGCUAAAUCACUUAAUCAAGCAAAUGUUGCCAUUUUCAGCAGUGGUAUUACAUAAAAAAGCAAUAUGUUGCCUAAGAUUAAAUUGUUCCCAGUGUGUUCCCCAAGUUAACCCAAGUAAAAUCUUUAAACAAAAAAUUAUUGAUAACCAUUGGAUAGUUGUGUUUCAUAGUUUGGACCAAACUCUAUAUACUGCAUAUUUCUACAGUGAAUUUACUCUAAAGUUGGUGUUACAUAUGAUGAAGACAGUACAGACAGCACUAGACUUACUCCAAAAUCAGUGGAAUGAUUAAACUGAUUGCAAGGAGCUUUAUUUCACUUAACAGUAACCCUUACUUUAUACUAGUAUGAAUAAAAGCAAAUUGCUGUGCAUUGAUGGAGGAUCAGAAGCCCAGCUUGACUAUUUUGUGCCGAUUUGCCAUGUCGAGAUAUCUUCCUAUUUGGAUCACCAGCUGAAAUUUAUUUAAAUUGAGGAACUAGUAGGGUUUUGGUUGUGUGCUUUGUUGCUCUGAUGUCUGGGAUGUACCUUGUACAGUAAUGCAAGGAACAAAAAAGCCUGUUCCUUAUCUUACUUAUUUUAAUCAUUUCAAGGUGGAGUACAUAAAUCUUGUAGUGGUAUUUUUGCUCUAAGUUUUACUCAGAUAGCAUCUCUCUGUGAAGGUUCAGAAUACAAAACAUUUAUGCCUGUCCUUGAAGUCCUUAAGCAGAAUGCCAGUGGGAAUUCUGCCUGUAUAAAACUGAAGGAUGGAGCAAUAUAUUAUAGUGUUACGCAAAACAGUUUCUAACACGUUACUAAAUACAUUAAAAAAGAAAUUUAAAAAAAACUGUUGGGGACAAUCAUGAAUACUUCUGCUAGGAUGCAGAGUUCUGGAUUCAUAUGUCUAAAUUAUCAGAGUUCUGCAGAGUUUUACUUGUGCAACUCUUUCAAAAAUCAAAGGAGCCAUGCUGAUAAACUGAAACAUGGAGGGAUUAGUGUACAAAGAAGCUGAGCAUUGAAAACAUAGCCUACUGCUUUAAGAUCACUGUAAAUAUCAAAUUAAAUAUGUACUGAUUCAUGUUUCUAUGUUAUUACUGUGUUAGUUUCAUAGAUACAGUAGCAUGACUAUUAUUAGUUUUAUGGAGUUUAAUGAACUUUCUUUGUAUUCCUCUGUGAAUGCUCUGAAUGCUGCAAACAAAAAAAGCACAACAGUAUUUUUUCAAGUUCUCUUGGGGCAAUAGCAGUGUCUUCACUAUUGUUCAGUUUUACAGAUUUAGCAACAUUUCAUCAUACAUUGCUCUGUUAAUAACGUAUCUUUCUUUAAAAGUACUGUCACUAGGAGAUAAAAGCAUAUGUGAUAAGUCUUGUCUAAUCUCAUUCAUCUGCCUUUACAAAAUGCCCCAGAUAUUUUGUGGGAGAAUAUGCUGCUUUUGCUUCAUGCAUUGUUUGUAUUUGGGGUGGGGCAGGGGAAUAAUAGGGCAUUUUGCAAUGGUAAUUGCAUCAAACAUGCUUUUUUCAUUAUUAUUGUAUUUGUUAGAAACAUUUUGAUUUAGUUUCUUUCUGUAGAUAAAACUUUGACAAUAGCUUUAUUUUUUCAACUAACCAUUUGAUUUCAUUAGACUAAUAACUUCUCACAUUUAGUGGUAUUCGUAUCAAUGUUUCCAUAUCAGCUGCAUUUUAACUUCAUAAAAAAGGAAAUGUGAUUAUUAUUUUUGUCAUACUAGAUUUUGCUGAUCAACUAAGUAUCCCUGCACCAAUCUACAUAUUAAUAUGCAUGUUGUAGUCUGUACAAUUGUUCAACAUCAAAAUAUCUGUUUAAUUUAUGUCAAAUGUCUUUAAAAUAAAUGCAUUGUUCUCCAUUUCAGUCUGAUAGAAUAAGCAGGAUAGUAAAUAAAUGUGUAA